GACGAACGCUGGCGGCGUGCCUAAUACAUGCAAGUAGAACGCUGAAGGAGGAGCUUGCUCUUCUGGAUGAGUUGCGAACGGGUGAGUAACGCGUAGGUAACCUGCCUGGUAGCGGGGGAUAACUAUUGGAAACGAUAGCUAGUACCGCAUAACAGUAGAUGUUGCAUGACAUUUGCUUAAAAGGUGCAAUUGCACCACUACCAGAUGGACCUGCGUUGUAUUAGCUAGUUGGUGGGGUAACGGCUCACCAAGGCGACGAUACAUAGCCGACCUGAGAGGGUGAUCGGCCACACUGGGACUGAGACACGGCCCAGACUCCUACGGGAGGCAGCAGUAGGGAAUCUUCGGCAAUGGACGGAAGUCUGACCGAGCAACGCCGCGUGAGUGAAGAAGGUUUUCGGAUCGUAAAGCUCUGUUGUAAGAGAAGAACGGGUGUGAGAGUGGAAAGUUCACACUGUGACGGUAUCUUACCAGAAAGGGACGGCUAACUACGUG
RNAcentral lists this ribosomal RNA (495 nucleotides) under uncultured bacterium. RNAcentral's name for it is "partial 16S ribosomal RNA". It matches the Rfam family "Bacterial small subunit ribosomal RNA", at positions 28 to 507 of the family's 1533-position model. The record is from RNAcentral.